UACGUAGGGGGCAAGCGUUGUCCGGAAUCAUUGGGCGUAAAGGGCGCGUAGGCGGCUUGGCAAGUGGAAGGUGAAAUCCCUCGGCUCAACUGAGGAACUGCCUUCCAGACUGCUUUGCUUGAGUCCGGGAGAGGUGAGUGGAAUUCCCAGUGUAGCGGUGAAAUGCGCAGAUAUCAGGAGGAACACCGAUGGCGAAGGCAGCUCGCUGGGACGGUACUGACGCUGAGGCGCGAAAGCGUGGGGGAGCAAACAGG
This 254-nucleotide ribosomal RNA is filed under the name uncultured bacterium. RNAcentral's name for it is "partial 16S ribosomal RNA". It matches the Rfam family "Bacterial small subunit ribosomal RNA", at positions 524 to 776 of the family's 1533-position model. The record is from RNAcentral.